CCGGCGGCUCCAGGCGGCACGCGUGAGUGGGCAAGCGCAGGUGCUGGAGCGGCAGGAAUGUGAGCGGCACCGAGCGAGUGGCGCGAGUGUGCGCGCGAUGGCGUGCGGGAGUUGGCGGUGUGGGCAGCUGUUGAGCGGCCGGAGCGAAGCGCGGGCCCGGCAACAGAGGAAGGAGGUGGAGCUAUGCAAAGCAUUGACGAGCAGAGCAACGACAUGCAGAGCGGCAACGUGCAACGCAUGGCAGUGUUCCCGCUGGGCGAGCUCAGGCCACGACCGAGUUGAGUGCAGGAGGGUCGCGCGUGAUGGAUAUUAGGGGCCGUCGAGGAAAAGGCAGCGGAAGACACGGCCCUAAUACAGACAGACCACGGUCCUCGCGAAGGCGGAGGUGUGAGUAUGGCAUGGCGAAUCGGAAAGAAAAGCUACGGAGCGAAGGCGACGACUGGGCGUAACAAGCUCGGAGGAGCCACGGAGUAGCCAGACACGACGAGCUCCCUCCACCCAUGCAGAGGUCGAAACGGAAGCAGCACAUAGAAGAUGCGGCCAAGCACGGUGAUCCUACCGGAGGCUACGCGAGUGUGCGGACCAUGUUUCUGCAGCACACGCGCGUGAACAGUGGAGGCUUGGCCGUGAGCAAGGAAACCCUGAGGCUUGUGGAAGAGUCAACCUAGCGAACCAAUCCGGCUCCAUUGUCUUGUCCCAUGAUCCACGACACUCAGCAACUUCUACUCUUCGUCACCGUCGAGCUCUUCUCCUCGCUAAUCUUGUUCGCCACGGGAAUUCACUUUCCGUCUAUUCUUCUCCACAACCAAGACUACCCCAAGGUUUGCCCUGUUUUAUUAAAUUCUUUUAAUGCCGGCAAUCCCUUUGCCGGAAUAUCGUCGUUAACUUCCUGUUAUCUGUUCUCCCGGACCAGGGACUUGAUUGCUAUAUUUUGGAAAGUUCUAUAGUGUUCUUUGUAAAAUUUCCAAAGCUUUCUGUAUUUCAAAUCGAUGACCUCUACAUUUCAUAGAUUUUCAUAGGAAGUUCAUAAAAAUGUAAAAUCAGUUUCGUUUGAAACCCUAAGUCAAACUCUACAAGUUUUAUGUUAUGAUCUUGAGUUGAGAUCUUUGAUGUGUGGUCUAGGUCAAAUGUUAGGGAAUGAAUGUUUUAUUGUGCUUUAUAUUGUAUGCUUGUAUUAUAGCUAAAGCGUAAGCUAUAGAAGUUAUGUCAUAAGUAGAGAUAUGCGAUAUCUAGUUAAUCCUUUCCCACGAAGUGCUCAUAUCCUUAGCGUUAAGACGUUAUCCUUGUUUUGAUUGCCGUUUCCUUAAGAUCCUUUUCGUAAAAGGAUCCCUGUUAGUUUAUGUACUUUUGUUGCUUAGCUUAUACACCUCUACGGCUAUGCUUCAACGUCGACUAUCAGUUCAACCGCUAAACAUUCGUUUCCUUUGAGUUUAGAAUAUUUCUGCGUAACAGCUGUCAGCCGAUAUAUUUCUUGUGAUAUGCUUCUACUAUCGGCUGGUUAGCUGAUACGAUUGUUACCUUUCUAGUAUCGACUACUGCCGAUACAAGUCUGUUGUUCUAUCCUACAUCGACUACACAGAGUCGAUGUAUCGAAGAGACACACACGAUCUUAGGGUUUUUGCUAUCGGCCGACCCAAGCCGAUUUUGGUUGCCUUGCCAUAUCGGUCAAACACGGCCGAUCAAUCUUAGUUUUCCUAUCUCCAUUCCACACACCUCUAUCAGCCGAUUUAUCGACUGAGAGAUCGGCUAUCUAUAUCUAUCAGUCAUGUAUCCUCAAUCACACUCCAAUCGACUGUACGUCACUCAAUAGUUGUGCUGACGUAAUCGAGUCGAUACAACCACACUUAGUUACCUAGAAUAACACUUAAGCACAUCUCAGUUAAGACAACUGUUUUAGGAAUCAUCCCUCUGCUAAAGUGAUCGAUGUUUUCAUCGAUCAAUCAGGAAACCGGUGUACCUAUCAAUCUUCUACACAAACCAAAGUACACAACCCUAGAUCAAUAAGAUCGCACAUUAGACACGCCUCUGUUAGGCACGACCUAAGCACAUCAAUCAGCUAAACCCCCGUUGUUUCCAAUCGGCUCUGUUGUAACUCUCAACAAGUAGCUGAUUCUAGUUAGUUGUCCCCCUAAAGCUCUAUCUAGGUUUAGUUCAGAUCUUUUGGUUGUUAUAUGAAUAGUGUGUUAUAUAAGUGCUGGAUUGCAAUUUUGCUGUGAAAUAAAAUAGUUUUGUGUGCACGCUUGAAUGUAAUGUUGCAUUACAUGUAGAUACGACUACUUCAGCAACGGUACCUACGAGAUCUCCCCAAAGUCUACGGGGAAUAUUCCUGAAGAUCAAGUAAAUAUCACCAGGGGAAUAUCGGAAGCCCCGAACCAAAGUUCGGAAGAUAUUAACAUUUCUGACUUCAGACCCACCAGUAAAGGCAAGCCCCGG
Molecule: long non-coding RNA, 2433 nt
Filed under: Panicum hallii
Lineage: Eukaryota; Viridiplantae; Streptophyta; Magnoliopsida; Poales; Poaceae
Description: long non-coding RNA (PHAL_LNC000802)
Source: RNAcentral